AGGGUAUUAUUGGUUGAACAAACCAUCUUUAUGUGACUUUUGCGCCACAUAGAUUCCCUAAGCCAACAUCGAGGUGCCAACCCCUAUUAUUGAUAAGGACUCUUUAAUAGGAUUAGCCUGUUAUCCCUAAGGUAGCUUGUUCUUGUGAUCUUUAUUAAGGGUCAGUAUUUAGAUUAAUUUAUCUUUUGAUAAGGGAUGAUUAGUUUUCCCUGGUCGCCCCAACCGAAUUUUAUUAAAGUUUAAGUCUUUAUUAAAAUGAAGCUCUAUAGGGUCUUCUUGUCCUUCGAUUAAAUCUAACACUCUUCAGUUAGAGAUUAAUUUUUAUAGGGCUUAUAGAGACAGUUUUUAUUUCGUUGGUCCGUUCAUUCUAGCCCACAAUUAAUGGGCAAGUGAUUAUGCUACCUUUGCACGGUUAGGAUACCGCGGCCGUUGAAUAAUAUCACUGGGCAGGAAUUACUUCUUAUUUAUUGCAAGAAGCA
This 479-nucleotide ribosomal RNA is filed under the name Allolobophora chlorotica. RNAcentral's name for it is "partial 16S ribosomal RNA". The record is from RNAcentral. Lineage: Eukaryota; Metazoa; Annelida; Clitellata; Crassiclitellata; Lumbricidae.